GAUGAACGCUAGCGGCAGGCCUAACACAUGCAAGUCGAACGGUAACAGGUCUAGCUUGCUAGAUGCUGACGAGUGGCGGACGGGUGAGUAACGCGUGGGAAUCUGCCUUCUAGUGGGGGAUAGCCCGGAGAAAUCCGGAUUAAUACCGCAUACGCCCUACGGGGGAAAGCCGGGGAUCUUCGGACCUGGCGCUAGUAGAUGAGCCCGCGUGAGAUUAGCUUGUUGGUGGGGUAAUGGCCUACCAAGGCAACGAUCUCUAGCUGGUCUGAGAGGACGAUCAGCCACACUGGGACUGAGACACGGCCCAGACUCCUACGGGAGGCAGCAGUGGGGAAUAUUGGACAAUGGGCGAAAGCCUGAUCCAGCAAUGCCGCGUGUGUGAAGAAGGCCUGAGGGUUGUAAAGCACUUUCAAUCGUGAAGAAAAGUUGCAGGCUAAUACCCUGUGACCUUGACGUUAACGAUACAAGAAGCACCGGCUAACUCCGUGCCA
This 491-nucleotide ribosomal RNA is filed under the name uncultured bacterium. RNAcentral's name for it is "bacterial SSU rRNA". It matches the Rfam family "Bacterial small subunit ribosomal RNA", at positions 28 to 510 of the family's 1533-position model. The record is from RNAcentral.